Long non-coding RNA from Bos taurus (domestic cattle), 599 nucleotides. Lineage: Eukaryota; Metazoa; Chordata; Mammalia; Artiodactyla; Bovidae. The record is from Ensembl.
GGGACACAGCCAUGCUCCACCCAGGACCAUGAGAUGUGCAGAUCACCCCUAGACGUCUUUGAAGGUGUUUCUGGAUGACAUCAGUAUUUGAAAAUGUGGGCUCAGUAAAGUAGAUGGCCCUCCUCAAGGGGACUGGAAUACAAAAGUAGGAAGUCAAGAAACACCUGGAGUAACAGGCAAUUUGGCCUUGGAGUACAAAAUGAAGCAGGGUAAAGGCUAAUAGAGUUUUGCCAAGAUAAUACACUGGUCAUAGCAAACACAACACAAGAGAAGACUUUACACAUGGACACCACCAGAUGGCCAAUACCAAAAUCAGAUUGAUUAUAUUCUUUACAGCCAAAGAUGGAGAAACUCUAUACAGACAGCAAAAACAAGACUGGGAGCUGACUGUGGCUCAGAUCAUGAACUCCUUAUUGCCAAAUUCAGACUUAAAUUGAAGAAAGUAGGGAAAACCAUUCAGGUAUGACCUAAAUCAAAUCCCCUAUGAUUAUACAGUGGAAGUGACAAACAGAUUCAAGGUAUUAGAUCUGAUAGAGAGCCUGAAGAACUAUAGACAGAGGCUCAUGACAUUGUACAGGAGGCAGUGAUCAAGACCAUCC